This 223-nucleotide ribosomal RNA is filed under the name uncultured bacterium. Its description in RNAcentral is "partial 16S ribosomal RNA". It matches the Rfam family "Bacterial small subunit ribosomal RNA", at positions 524 to 746 of the family's 1533-position model. The record is from RNAcentral.
GACAGAGGGUGCAAGCGUUGUUCGGAAUUACUGGGCGUAAAGGGAGUGUAGGCGGCGAAGUAUGUCUGAUGUGAAAUCCCUCGGCUUAACUGAGGAAGAGCAUCGGAAACUGCUUCGCUGGAGUGCGAGAGAGGAUGGCGGAAUUCCCAGAGUAGAGGUGAAAUUCGUAGAUACUGGGAGGAACACCAGAGGCGAAGGCGGCCAUCUGGCUCGCAACUGACGC